GAAGGUGUAGCUCCGUGGCAGAGCAUGUGCUUAGCAUGCACGAGGUUGUGGGUUUAAUUCCUAGUACCUCCU
Molecule: transfer RNA, 72 nt
Filed under: Camelus bactrianus (Bactrian camel)
Lineage: Eukaryota; Metazoa; Chordata; Mammalia; Artiodactyla; Camelidae
Also listed under: 2 other names
Rfam family: tRNA
About the family: Transfer RNA (tRNA) molecules are approximately 80 nucleotides in length.
Source: Rfam by way of RNAcentral